Molecule: ribosomal RNA, 292 nt
Filed under: uncultured microorganism
Description: partial 16S ribosomal RNA
Rfam family: Bacterial small subunit ribosomal RNA
Source: RNAcentral
GUGCCAGCAGCCGCGGUAAUACGUAGGUGGCAAGCGUUGUCCGGAAUUAUUGGGCGUAAAGCGCGCGCAGGCGGAUCAGUCAGUCUGUCUUAAAAAGUUCGGGGCUUAACCCCGUGAUGGGAUGGAAACUGCUGAUCUAGAGCAUCGGAGAGGAAAGUGGAAUUCCUAGUGUAGCGGUGAAAUGCGUAGAUAUUAGGAAGAACACCAGUGGCGAAGGCGACUUUCUGGACGAAAACUGACGCUGAGGCGCGAAAGCCAGGGGAGCGAACGGGAUUAGAUACCCCGGUAGUCC